This is a non-coding RNA of Clupea harengus (Atlantic herring), 1013 nucleotides long. The record is from the annotation of a RefSeq genome assembly. NCBI's taxonomy places the organism in Eukaryota, Metazoa, Chordata, Actinopteri, Clupeiformes, Clupeidae.
AGACACACACCUUACAGCUCCAUCUACUUUAAGAGUCCCUGUGUGGAUCAGAGGGCUUCAGUGCUUCACUGCCACUGAGAAGAACCUUAAAGAUGAUUUCUCUUACUGUAAUCCUACUAGCUAUGGGACUCAUAGCACAAGCAUCAUCAGCUGAUAUAAUUCUGACUCAGUCUCACUCAUCAAAGUCCGUUAAGGCUGGAGAAACUGUCUCUAUCAGCUGCACAGCCAGUCAGACUGUUUCCGGUUAUCUGCACUGGUACUCCCAGAAACCUGGAGAAGCUCCUAAACUCCUGAUCUACUACGCAACAACUCGUCAGUCUGGUGUUCCAGAUCGUUUCAGUGGGAGUGGGUCUGGUACACAGUACACUCUGACCAUCAGCAGAGUCCAGCCUGAAGAUGCUGCAGAUUAUUACUGUCAGCAGGGUAAUGCACUUCCAUUCACACAGUGUUAGAGCGCCGUACAAAAACCUCCCUCAGCAGGAGAGAAUCAGAGCCCUCAGGAGACUGAUCUGAGAACAGGUGCAGAGCUGCUACAGAUGACUGAACUCAGCUCAUGGUAGCAGCUCUUUCAGAGGAUGUGCACAUGAUCUCAGUCUCACCAGUACAGCAUGUUAAAAUAGAUCUCACACUUCCUCUAUUUGACUGACAGGUGUCCAGUGUCCAUCCCGUCAGUCAUUUAGAAACAUCUAGAAGAUCCUCCCUCUUUUCCCCUCAUAUCCACAAGUAAGAUGAAUACCCAUCUUACACAAUCUUAACCUUCACCUCCUCUACAAUAGUCUGAUUUAAUGUCUGGAAUAAACUAGAUACAACUAUGUACUCAACGUUAACAUAAAGGAAAUUCAAAAGUGUUGAUUGGUUAGUCAUCUUUCUAUGUCAUCAAUUCUUCCCCCUCAUUACCUAGUACACAUACAUGAGAUCAGUUGUAGACAUUUUGAUGUCCUUGGCAAACUAUCUUUUAUAUAGCAGCAUGGUGUCUUGUAUUUGUAUUUGUAGCUGGAUAAUGAAAUAUUAUU